This 258-nucleotide ribosomal RNA is filed under the name uncultured Latescibacterota bacterium. RNAcentral describes it as "uncultured Latescibacteria bacterium partial 16S ribosomal RNA". It matches the Rfam family "Bacterial small subunit ribosomal RNA", at positions 1124 to 1382 of the family's 1533-position model. Lineage: Bacteria; Pseudomonadati; Candidatus Latescibacterota. The record is from RNAcentral.
GGUAAAGCUGGGAACUCUGGGGAGACUGCCGGUGAUAAACCGGAGGAAGCGGGGAUGACGUCAAGUCCUCAUGGCCCUUACAUCCCGGGCUACACACGUGCUACAAUGGCAGGUACAGAGGGCUGCGAAGCCGCGAGGUGGAGCGAGUCCCAGAAAACCUGUCUCAGUCCGGAUUGAAGUCUGCAACUCGACUUCAUGAAGGCGGAAUCGCUAGUAACCGCGAAUCAGCAGGUCGCGGUGAAUACGUUCCCGGGCCUU